UCCAGACUCCUACGGGAGGCAGCAGUGGGGGAUAUUGCACAAUGGGGGGAACCCUGAUGCAGCGACGCCGCGUGGGUGAAGGAGCGUUUCGGCGCGUAAAGCCCUCUCGGCAGGGAAGAAGGAGGACGGUACCUGACUAAGAAGCCCCGGAUAACUACGUGCCAGCAGCCGCGGUAAUACGUAGGGGGCAAGCGUUAUCCGGAUUUACUGGGUGUAAAGGGGGCGCAGACGGCAGCGCAAGCCAGGAGUGAAAGCCCGGGGCCCAACCCCGGGACUGCUCUUGGAACUGCGUGGCUGGAGUGCAGGAGGGGCAGGCGGAAUUCCUGGUGUAGCGGUGAAAUGCGUAGAUAUCAGGAGGAACACCGGUGGCGAAGGCGGCCUGCUGGACUGCAACUGACGUUGAGGCCCGAAAGCGUGGGGAGCAAACAGGAUUAGAUACCCUAGUAAGG
RNAcentral lists this ribosomal RNA (449 nucleotides) under uncultured bacterium. RNAcentral describes it as "bacterial SSU rRNA". It matches the Rfam family "Bacterial small subunit ribosomal RNA", at positions 330 to 793 of the family's 1533-position model. The record is from RNAcentral.